Raphanus sativus (radish) is the source of this 1158-nucleotide long non-coding RNA. RefSeq lists it as uncharacterized. Lineage: Eukaryota; Viridiplantae; Streptophyta; Magnoliopsida; Brassicales; Brassicaceae. The record is from RefSeq and is a predicted model, not a curated record. The transcript is spliced from 3 exons.
AGUAAAUGGGGUCUCGUUACCUGACCAAACAAAACCUUGUCUCUCUAUCUAUUGUAAUGAAGUUUUCGGCCUCGGAUUCUGAUUGAUGUAAGCAAGAUCGAUAUGACUACAACUGUCUUGGGAUUCAAGAUAUCUAUCCCCAUCAUGGUUGCACCAACUGCUAUGCAUAAGAAGAUGGCGCAUCCAGAAGGUGAUUAUGUUACAGCUAGAGCUGCAUCAGCUGCUGGAACUAUUAUCGUAAUUCGUUCAUUAAACAAUUUGAAAGGUUGCAACAUCACAAAGCUCUUGUUGCAGACACUAUCUUCAUGGGAUACUUCCAGCGUUUAAGAGGUUUCAACAGGACCAGGAAUCAGAUUUGUCCAGCUAUAUGUGAGCUCCAUGGCACGCUAUAUAUGUCACUCGCUCAUGAAUCAAGAAGCUUCAACGUUCAGUUUUUUUUAAUAGGAUUGUAAGGACAGGAACGUGGUUGCUCAGUUUGUGAGAAGAGCUGAGAGAGCUGGGUUUAAAGCAAUCGCUCUUACUGUUCAUACACCACGACUUCUUCGCAGAGAAUCUGAUAUUAAGAACAGGUCUAGCUAGCCACCUUACUUGGCUUUGAAGAAUUUUGAAGGUCUAGACCUUGGCAAGAUGGAUAUGGUAUUAACUAACAUCAAUCUUUGAUCAUAUAUGUAAUUUCCAAAUGGUCUGAAACGUUUCUAAACAUUAUAAUGGUGUAUUAUUCGGGCAAAUGACUCAGGACUAGCAUCCAACGUGGCUGGACAAAUUGAUCGUACCUUGACCUGGAAGACAAAUUUUUAAAAAAUUUUAAAAAGCAAAAAACAAAAAAUAUUGCUGUACGAUUGAUCUCUUUGGGAUACAUGAUUAAAUGAUAUAGGAUGUGAAAUGGCUUUCGGACAAUCACGAACCUGCCACUUCUAAUGAAAAGUGUUCUCACAGCUGAAGACGCUAGGAUGGCCUGUACAAACAGGAGCAACCAGUAUCAUCGUGUCUAACCAUGGUGCUCGUUAACUAGAUUACGUCCCAGCCACGGUCGUAGCCCUUGAAGAGGUUAAUUUGUAACUUAUAAAUCAACCCUCUUCCGUCUUAACUUUUGAAGGUUGUUACCAUAGUUCAACUCUCAAUGCUAUGGUUCUCUCAGGUUUUUUUAAGUAGCUCAGG